Molecule: long non-coding RNA, 724 nt
Filed under: Trifolium pratense (red clover)
Lineage: Eukaryota; Viridiplantae; Streptophyta; Magnoliopsida; Fabales; Fabaceae
Description: long non-coding RNA (TPRA_LNC002827)
Source: RNAcentral
GAAUGUGAAAAACAUUAAACACAAGAAAUAACUGAAUAAUACUAGCAUUGCAAUUGAGAAAAAUACUACUCAAAACUACGUGAUUCAAGUAGCUUGAAAUAGAUUCAUCUCAAGACCAAACCUAAAGUUUUAGCUGCUCAUAAUUAUUACAAACAUUGCAAUAGAGUUAAAGAAGAUACAGAUAAGAGUAGGAUGAAUAUGCUUCAAUCUUGCUUUCAAUACUUGAAUCAAUUUCUUCGACCUUCUACAAUGCCCAAAAUCUCCAACUUUAAUGCAAAAUUCAAAACCCUUACACAUAUCUCAAUUUUCCUUUUUAUAAAGCAAGAAAUGGGUCUGACACGGCAGAAGCUGGUCUAAAAUGAAUGUAAUAACUAAGGCUAUGUUUGGAUUGGUGGUAAAGGAUGGAAUGGAAUGGAAUGGAGUGGUCACUAACUAAGUUCCAUUGUUUGGAUUUGCAAAAAAUGAAUGGAGUGAAAUGGAUCACAAUGGAACUCAUUCCAUCCCAUACCAUUCAAUCUUCUAAUUUUCUUUCCCCUCCAAAUUGGGGUGUAUGCAAUGGAAUGAAUAUUUAUAAAAUAUAUCCAAACAAUGAAAUGAUAUCUUUACUCCAUUCCGCUCCGUUCCACUCCAUUCCAUUAUGUUUCAUUCCGCUCCAUUCCAUUUUGUACCACCAAUCCAAACAUAGCCUAAGAGUCAUCAUUCACCAUCUUGCACAUCUCCAAUN